RNAcentral lists this ribosomal RNA (467 nucleotides) under uncultured bacterium. RNAcentral describes it as "partial 16S ribosomal RNA". It matches the Rfam family "Bacterial small subunit ribosomal RNA", at positions 28 to 507 of the family's 1533-position model. The record is from RNAcentral.
GACGAACGCUGGCGGCGUGCUUAACACAUGCAAGUCGAACGGAAAGGCCCUGCUUUUGUGGGGUGCUCGAGUGGCGAACGGGUGAGUAACACGUGAGUAACCUGCCCUUGACUUUGGGAUAACUUCAGGAAACUGGGGCUAAUACCGGAUAGGAGCUCCUGCUGCAUGGUGGGGGUUGGAAAGUUUCGGCGGUUGGGGAUGGACUCGCGGCUUAUCAGCUUGUCGGUGGGGUAGUGGCUUACCAAGGCUUUGACGGGUAGCCGGCCUGAGAGGGUGACCGGCCACAUUGGGACUGAGAUACGGCCCAGACUCCUACGGGAGGCAGCAGUGGGGAAUAUUGCACAAUGGGCGGAAGCCUGAUGCAGCAACGCCGCGUGCGGGAUGACGGCCUUCGGGUUGUAAACCGCUUUCGCCUGUGACGAAGCGUGAGUGACGGUAAUGGGUAAGAAGCACCGGCUAACUACGUG